Long non-coding RNA from Mirounga angustirostris (Northern elephant seal), 404 nucleotides. RefSeq lists it as uncharacterized. The transcript has 4 exons. The record is from RefSeq and is a predicted model, not a curated record. NCBI's taxonomy places the organism in Eukaryota, Metazoa, Chordata, Mammalia, Carnivora, Phocidae.
ACAGGGUCAAAUGAAGACUGGAACUUUAAAACAAAGCAUUUAAAAAAACUCAAGAGAAACAGGAAGGAUACGAAGUGCAUUGCGUGUGAUCAGACGAUGUGGCUGACUCCAGCAUGAAGAACUGAAGACCAGACUUUGGAUUGUGGCAACUGAAAAUAGACUGUGAACCUGAGAGGUCCUCAGAGACAUCAAAUGAUUCCAAGGAAAUAAAAUGUACUUGUGUCCUGGGUCACAGUAGACAUGAUUCUGUGAUGGGGCACGUGUCUCAGCGGACAACCAGAAAACCCAACACAGGACCAUUAUGCACCUACCUUCUCCACUAAGGAAAAAAAAAAAAAGGUAAUGCUGUAAAUAUGCUUCCAUUCCAUUAUAUACUUUUUCACUACACAGGACCAGAUAUUUAC